GGAGUUAGCCGGUGCUUCUUCUGUGAGUGAUGUCCUUCCUGCCGGUUAUUGACCCGCAGGCCUUCUUCCUCACUGAAAGUGCUUUACAACCCGAAGGCCUUCUUCACACACGCGGCAUGGCUGGAUCAGGGUUGCCCCCAUUGUCCAAUAUUCCCCACUGCUGCCUCCCGUAGGAGUCUGGGCCGUGUCUCAGUCCCAGUGUGGCUGAUCAUCCUCUCAGACCAGCUACGGAUCGUCGCCUUGGUGAGCCGUUACCUCACCAACCAGCUAAUCCGACAUAGGCUCAUCCGAUAGCGCGAGGCCCGAAGGUCCCCCGCUUUCCCCCGUAGGGCGUAUGCGGUAUUAGCCUGGGUUUCCCCAGGUUAUCCCCCACUACCGGGCAGAUUCCUAUGCAUUACUCACCCGUCCGCCGCUCGCCACCAGGGAGCAAGCUCCCCGUGCUGCCGCUCGACUUGCAUGUGUUAGGCCUGCCGCCAGCGUUCAAUCUGAACCAAGAUCAAAUUCNGA
Molecule: ribosomal RNA, 507 nt
Filed under: uncultured bacterium
Lineage: Bacteria
Description: partial 16S ribosomal RNA
Source: RNAcentral